CGCCGCUGCUCCACCGCCCGCCGUCCUUCUAUCCGGAACAGUAGCCGCCGCAUCCUCAUCCACGACCGUAGCCGCCGCCCGUGAAGCCAUGCCGCCGCCUCACAGCACACAUCCCUCAUCUCCCCUUCCUCCCCGGUCCCGCCUCCUCCAGAGCCUCGGCUCGUGCUCCAGAGGAGCCGUCACGUCCGCCGCCUCCUCCCCCUCGCCCUCGCCGCCGGGAUGGCCCCGCCCUCUCCGCUACGCCGUCCUCGGCGCCGGCUUCGCGGGGCUCUCCGUCGCGUGGCACCUCCUCAAGCAAAGCCCGAAGUAUUCGCGCGUGUCGGUGGACGUCUACGACGAGAACGGCGUCGGGGGAGGCGCCUCGGGGGUCUCUGGAGGGCUUCUCCAUCCGUACUCACCAAAAGCCAAGCUUCUCUGGAGAGGAGGCGAAUUCUGGAAAGAGAGCAUGGAUCUCCUGCGCAGCGCAGAGAAAGCGAAUGGAAUCGCUGGAUCAGAUGGCGAUGGUCGGGAUGAUGAAGCCCUUAUCUGGAGAAGGCAAUCAGUUUUUCCUUGUCACGCUACAUCCGUUUGAGCGUCAAUUAAUAUGGGAUGGAGGGUGUAUAUUUUAACCGUUUGUUUUUGUUUAUGUUUGGCCUAUUGAUAAGUAUACCUUCCACUGAGUAGGGGAAUUUUGCGGCCACCUACGACAGAGAAGGCUGCUGAUAUAUUGCUAGAGGUACUGCUGGACUGAGAUUACGAAGCUAUGCUCAGGUGCUUCCUUUUUGUGUUUUUUGGUGCAUGGUUUUAAUUGCUUCGACUUCGACCUAUUCAAGUUAGAAUGCUCAGAGUUGCCUCCAGAGUUGCAGCCUUCAAGUUCUUGAUUCGGAUGCUGCACAAAGACUGAUCCCUGGGUUACGUGUUCCGCUCAACCUUGCGAUUUAUAUGCCACUAGCACUGAACAUCAACCCUAAGAAAUAUUUGCAGGCAUUGUUCCUUGCGUGCCAAAAUAUGGCCAAGGAAACAUCUGUAUCACCCAGUGAACUGAAAGAGUUCAGUUUGUACAACAAACAUAUCGAUAAUCUACAACAACUUUCAGGAGAUUAUGAUGCAGUGAUCAUCUGCCUUGGGGGCAAAGCUAGCUCACUUCCAGAACUUACAAAUAAGUUGCCUCUUAGAACCUGUAGAGGAGUUAUUGCUGAAUUCAAACUGCCAUCAGAUACAGCAGAAAAAUAUGGCAGUCAAAGUCCUUCAAUCUUGUCUGAUGCAUGGCUGGCAUUCCAAGGACCCUGCACCGUUUCUGUCGGGUCAACUUGGCAAUGGAAGUCUGACAAUCAUGAUCCAAGUGUAUCUGAUGAAGAAGCACGUACUGCAAUGGAAGAGCUGCUCCCCAAAGCUUCUGCUGUUUAUCCAGGAAUAAGUAAAUGGGAUUAUGUACGAGCAAGGGCUGGGAUAAGAGCCAUGCCUCCAUUGACAGCCAAUGGAUCCCUGCCACUGUUGGGUUGUCUAAAUGAUGUUAUAGGCGAGAGAAGCAAUUGUGCCUUUUGGCUAGUCGGUGGCCUUGGAGCCAGGGGCCUCCUGUAUCAUGGAUUGGCUGGAAAACUAACUGCCAAAGCUGUGAUUUCCAGUGAUGAGAACAUGAUACCUUCUGAAUUCACCUGCUGGAAGGCGAUCAAGGCUUCGCGGUGAAUACCGUAUCGUGAUUCAUUCAACCAUGCUAUCAUAGGAUUGUAUCAGGGAGUUGGAGAGAUCAAGAGAAUGAUGCGAUGCCUUCAGUGCAGUUGCUUAUAUGAAGGGCUACUGCAUCAUAUCGAAACCUGAAACCAUACUCGUGGUCAAUCCACAAGGCAUGCACGGCAAAUAGUCACAUGUAUAUCGCUAUGGAUGUCGUGUUGCGAUGACCAUUUUGAUGCCCUCUCAAGGAAGCUUGGUUAAGACGCAUAAACCAUGUUUACAUCUACUAAACCCUGAACUGCCGAGGUAGGAUUUUUUUUGGGGGGGAGUUGAUUAGAAUUUUUUGCCCAUUUCUGUACCAUCGUGUUUCUGUAAACCUGAGGAUAGAUGAGGUUUAUGAGUUUUUGUGUAGGUAGAUGUGAAUCACUAGGAUAUUCUCUUAUGCAUAGAAUUAUCCAUUUCUUUGUGUUUAUGAGAUGUUCAUUCAUUUGAAAAGGUAGAAGAGAUUUUGGAUGUAGG
Molecule: ribosomal RNA, 2169 nt
Filed under: Triticum aestivum (bread wheat)
Lineage: Eukaryota; Viridiplantae; Streptophyta; Magnoliopsida; Poales; Poaceae
Description: partial small subunit ribosomal RNA
Source: RNAcentral